RNAcentral lists this ribosomal RNA (548 nucleotides) under uncultured Glomus. RNAcentral's name for it is "SSU rRNA". It matches the Rfam family "Eukaryotic small subunit ribosomal RNA", at positions 548 to 1098 of the family's 1831-position model. Lineage: Eukaryota; Fungi; Glomeromycota; Glomeromycetes; Glomerales; Glomeraceae. The record is from RNAcentral.
UUGGAGGGCAAGUCUGGUGCCAGCAGCCGCGGUAAUUCCAGCUCCAAUAGCGUAUAUUAAAGUUGUUGCAGUUAAAAAGCUCGUAGUUGAAUUUCGGGAUCAAUAUGCCGGUCAUGCCUUGGUAUGUACUGGUAUCUUUGAUUUCUCCCUUCUGACGAACUUUGAUGUCAUUAAUUUGGUGUCAUAGGGAAUCAGGACUGUUACUUUGAAAAAAUUAGAGUGUUUAAAGCAGGCUCACGCUUGAAUACAUUAGCAUGGAAUAAUGAAAUAGGACGUUUGAUUCUAUUUUGUUGGUUUCUAGGAUCGACGUAAUGAUUAAUAGGGAUAGUUGGGGGCAUUAGUAUUCAAUUGUCAGAGGUGAAAUUCUUGGAUUUAUCGAAGACUAACUACUGCGAAAGCAUUUGCCAAGGAUGUUUUCAUUAAUCAAGAACGAAAGUUAGGAGAUCGAAGACGAUCAGAUACCGUCGUAGUCUUAACCAUAAACUAUGCCGACUAGGGAUCGGAUGAUGUUAAUUUUUUAAUGACUCAUUCGGCGCCUUACGGGAAAC